Molecule: ribosomal RNA, 253 nt
Filed under: uncultured bacterium
Lineage: Bacteria
Description: partial 16S ribosomal RNA
Rfam family: Bacterial small subunit ribosomal RNA
Source: RNAcentral
UACGUAGGGUGCGAGCGUUGUCCGGAUUUAUUGGGCGUAAAGAGCUCGUAGGCGGUCUGUCGCGUCCGUUGUGAAAACUCGAGGCUCAACCUCGGGCUUGCAGUGGAUACGGGCAGACUAGAGUGCGGUAGGGGAGACUGGAAUUCCUGGUGUAGCGGUGGAAUGCGCAGAUAUCAGGAGGAACACCGAUGGCGAAGGCAGGUCUCUGGGCCGUAACUGACGCUGAGGAGCGAAAGCAUGGGGAGCGAACAGG